GGUGGCGUGUCCGAGCGGCCGAAGGUGAAGCACUCGAAAUGCUUUGUGCGGUAAACCCGUACCGGGGGUUCAAAUCCCUCCGCCACCGCCA
This 91-nucleotide transfer RNA is filed under the name Corynebacterium lactis RW2-5. Its description in RNAcentral is "tRNA-Ser". It matches the Rfam family "tRNA". From Rfam's summary of the family: Transfer RNA (tRNA) molecules are approximately 80 nucleotides in length. Their secondary structure includes four short double-helical elements and three loops (D, anti-codon, and T loops). Lineage: Bacteria; Bacillati; Actinomycetota; Actinomycetes; Mycobacteriales; Corynebacteriaceae. The record is from RNAcentral.